Megalobrama amblycephala (Wuchang bream) is the source of this 715-nucleotide non-coding RNA. NCBI's taxonomy places the organism in Eukaryota, Metazoa, Chordata, Actinopteri, Cypriniformes, Xenocyprididae. The record is from the annotation of a RefSeq genome assembly.
CAUGACCCGUUUCUGAAGACUUAACAGUAAUUAUAAAUUAUGCUAAACUAUUAGCAUACUGACAUCAUUUAAAUUACAUGAAGAAAACAGCUAAAUUGGAGUCACAAUAAACAAUUCUGGACUUUGUAACUCCUCCUCCUCUCAUUAAUAAUAAUCACGUACAAGGCCUGAGAAAGCAGAUUAUGCAAAUGUGAUGAUUUACCUCUAUAUAACACACAAAUCCAGAUCACUGUUCACUGUGCAGUGAAACAACAGGAGCAGAAUUUACAUUUAGCAAACGUUUUGACAAUGGUGUCAAUGAGCAUCUGGCAUUUCAUAUUUGUGGUGAUUGUUUCUCAACAAGGUAUCAGUGGUGAUGAAAUCCGAUUAGAUCAGUCUCCUGCUGUGAUAAAGAGACCUGGAGAAACAGUGAAGAUCUCCUGUAAAAUAUCUGGUUUUACAAUGACAGACUACUUCAUGCACUGGAUCAGGCAGAAGCCAGGGAAAGCUCUGGAGUGGAUUGGGAGAGUAAACUCUGGCAGUAGUUCUAGCUCUAAUUAUCUUAUUUACGCAGACUCUGUGAAAAAUCACUUCACUAUGAGUGAGGACGUGUCUCAAAGUACACAGUAUCUUGAAGCCAAGAGUCUGAGAGAAGAGGACACUGCUGUUUAUUACUGUGCUCGACAGACACAGUGACUCCAUCUGUUGAAGAGGCCCUACAAUAACCACAGAAAGA